RNAcentral lists this ribosomal RNA (300 nucleotides) under uncultured Constrictibacter sp. RNAcentral's name for it is "bacterial SSU rRNA". The stretch from base 58 to 300 matches the Rfam family "Bacterial small subunit ribosomal RNA", at positions 553 to 795 of the family's 1533-position model. The record is from RNAcentral. Lineage: Bacteria; Pseudomonadati; Pseudomonadota; Alphaproteobacteria; Rhodospirillales; Allostellaceae.
GCUAAGUCUGAGGCGGGAGCCGGAGGAAAACGGCGGGUGAAAGCUGUAGACGGAAGGAAUGGGCGUAAAGCGUGCGUAGGGGGGUGGUCAAGUUGGCGGUAAAAGACUGGGGCUUAACCCGGGAAAGGGCGUGGAAACGGAGGAGGUAGAGUGCAGUAGGGGUAGAGGGGAUACCCGGUGUAGCGGUGAAAGGCGUAGAGCUCGGGAAGAACAUCGGGGGCGAAAGCGCUCUACUGGACUGCAACUGACACUCAGGGACGAAAGCUAGGGGGGCGAAUGGGAUUAGAUACCCUGGUAGUC